This 365-nucleotide long non-coding RNA is filed under the name Prunus persica (peach). RNAcentral's name for it is "long non-coding RNA (PPER_LNC002662)". The record is from RNAcentral. Lineage: Eukaryota; Viridiplantae; Streptophyta; Magnoliopsida; Rosales; Rosaceae.
GCCCGAUUCUUAUAAUCCACACACUAUCCCCAGCAAGAACUAAUAAAAAGAACCACCAACACACCAGACUAGGCAUAAAAAAUAAAACAUACGUCUUCAUACUGGAAGCACGUCAAAUCACCUAGCCUAGCAAACUAAUUCCUUGGGGGGCGCACGGUAGUCAUCCUUUUGAAGGAAAAAGACCAACAAAGUUGGGGGUCUGGCUGAGAAGAUUAUGAUGGUGGUGAGAAAAGAAAAGGUGAAGAAGGCCAUAGAGAAAUGGAGAAGAAAGCCAAGGGAGGAGAGAGAGCCAGAGAGUUAGCAGAGAUGACAAUAUUGAAAGAAGAAUCAGCCACUACAUGUAUAACACAUUACCUCCAUUGAAG